GCCAGGCAUGGUGGCUCACGCCUGUAAUCCCAGCACUUUGGGAGGCUGAGACAGGUGGAUCAUCUGAGGUCAGGAGUUCGAGUCCAGCCUGACCAACAUGGUGAAACCCUGUCUCUA
Homo sapiens (human) is the source of this 117-nucleotide non-coding RNA. It matches the Rfam family "Metazoan signal recognition particle RNA". From Rfam's summary of the family: The signal recognition particle (SRP) is a universally conserved ribonucleoprotein. It is involved in the co-translational targeting of proteins to membranes. The record is from Rfam. NCBI's taxonomy places the organism in Eukaryota, Metazoa, Chordata, Mammalia, Primates, Hominidae.